Molecule: long non-coding RNA, 431 nt
Organism: Leptidea sinapis
Lineage: Eukaryota; Metazoa; Arthropoda; Insecta; Lepidoptera; Pieridae
Exons: 3
Source: RefSeq, a predicted model, not a curated record
GUGACAAUGGAAGCACAAGAAAAGCCUCCUAAAUAUGAUCCAAACACUGAAGCUUUUCAAAUGCGAGCGCAGUGGAAGAAGGUGGACAUAUGUCGCAAGCAGUGGCACGACCAGUGGAGUUGGCUGUUGGCUGAACGGAAGAAAUGAUAAUAACAGAGAUUUGGUCAAAUCUCGGAGGAGUAAACAGGAGAAUUUGGGGGGCGAUAAAUCGAUCUAGCUAGGUUUCAAUUUUAAAAAAUGUAGUUAUAUCCGUGUUUUAAUGAGAAACAGCUACAAUAACAUUAGAAUAAAAAGGCGAGCUCUGCAAGAAUCGAACAGCAUUCGUGCAGAGGCAGCUGCAGCUCUACCCCACAUCGCGACUGCCAGAGAAGUAACGAAAACACUGAAGCCAGUGCCCGCUACGUCUACCGGCGUUAUUGGAUGGCUGGCCG